GGCCCAUCAUCCAGGGCGUGCUACACAUGCAAUCGAAUGAAAAGAAUUAAUUAUUGUUUUCAUGGUGAACGGGUGAGUAACACAUAAGAAUCAGCUUUUAGAUAAGGCAUAAAAGAGUAAUAUCUUGGUAAUUCCUUAUAUGCGCAGCAGUGCUUAAAAAGGGGAGUCCCGUCUAAAAACGAGCUUAUGCCUGAUUAGCUAGUUGGCGAGUUAAAAGCUCACCAAGGCGAAGAUCAGUAGCUGGCCUGAGAGGGCGGCCAGCCACAUUGGGACUGAGACACGGCCCAAACUCCUACGGGAGGCAGCAGUGGGGAAUCUUCUGCAAUGGGCGCAAGCCUGACAGAGCGGCGUCGUGUGAAGGAAGAAGGCCUGAAAUAGGUUGUAAACUUCUUUUACUGAAUAAUGAAUAAUGACAACGCAGUAAAAAAGUAUCGGCUAACUCCGUGCCAGCAGCCGCGGUAAUACGGGGGAUGCAAGCGUUAUCCGGAAUCACUGGGCGUAAAGCGUCUGUAGGUGGUUUAGUGUGUUCUUAGUUAAAUUCUGAAGCCUAACUUCAUGAAAAGUAAGAAAACUAUUAGACUUGAGUACGAUAGGGGUAAGAGGAAUUCUUCGAGAAGUAGUGAAAUGCGAAGAUACGAAGGAGAAGAUCAUAAGCGAAGGCUUCUUACUGGGUCGUAACUGACACUGAGAGACGAAAGCUAGGGGAGCGAAUGGGAUUAGAUACCCCAGUAGUCCUAGCUGUAAACGAUGGAUAUUCGGUGCCGGAAAUUUUAUUAGAACAUUUCGGUACCCUAGCUAACGCGUUAAAUAUCCCGCCUGAGGAGUACGCUCGCAAGGGUGAAACUCAAAUGAAUUGACGGAAGGC
This 865-nucleotide ribosomal RNA is filed under the name uncultured bacterium. RNAcentral's name for it is "bacterial SSU rRNA". It matches the Rfam family "Bacterial small subunit ribosomal RNA", at positions 26 to 921 of the family's 1533-position model. The record is from RNAcentral.